This 28-nucleotide non-coding RNA is filed under the name Cricetulus griseus (Chinese hamster). Lineage: Eukaryota; Metazoa; Chordata; Mammalia; Rodentia; Cricetidae. The record is from RNAcentral.
AUCUGAACGAGUUAAGAGAAAGCUGCUU